RNAcentral lists this ribosomal RNA (253 nucleotides) under uncultured bacterium. Its description in RNAcentral is "partial 16S ribosomal RNA". It matches the Rfam family "Bacterial small subunit ribosomal RNA", at positions 524 to 776 of the family's 1533-position model. The record is from RNAcentral.
UACGAAGGGGGCUAGCGUUGUUCGGAAUUACUGGGCGUAAAGCGCACGUAGGCGGACAUUUACGUCAGGGGUGAAAUCCCGGAGCUCAACUCCGGAACUGCCUUUGAUACUGGGUGUCUUGAGUGUGGAAGAGGUGAGUGGAAUUCCGAGUGUAGAGGUGAAAUUCGUAGAUAUUCGGAGGAACACCAGUGGCGAAGGCGGCUCACUGGUCCAUUACUGACGCUGAGGUGCGAAAGCGUGGGGAGCAAACAGG